UUCCAGGAUGCCCACUGGAUCCAAAGAGAGAAACUCUAUAGAAUUAUGAUCUAGGUUUGACUGACUCCUGGCAAGAAGCCCUACCCGCCAGCCAAUUUGGAUGAGCUCUUAUGCUCCAGAUCCAUCAUGAGAAGAACAUGCCCUGGAUUCCUGCUAUCCCUUUAGCCAUGGCUCCAAAAUUAACACACACAAGGAAGACCUGAGGUCAAUCCACAGCCUGGAUUCAAGUCACCUAAUACAUAGGAGAAUCAGAGCUACCCAGCCACACUCAAUCUACGUUAACUGAACCUCAGCUGACCUGCAGAUUUAUGAGUAUGAGA
This 320-nucleotide long non-coding RNA is filed under the name Homo sapiens (human). RNAcentral's name for it is "non-protein coding LINC01980:17". The record is from RNAcentral. Lineage: Eukaryota; Metazoa; Chordata; Mammalia; Primates; Hominidae.